Non-coding RNA from Triticum urartu, 2418 nucleotides. NCBI's taxonomy places the organism in Eukaryota, Viridiplantae, Streptophyta, Magnoliopsida, Poales, Poaceae. The record is from RefSeq and is a predicted model, not a curated record.
GUCGCCCGCCCCGUGCGAGAGCGACCUAACUCGCGUCCCCCCGACCCCCCUGGCCUCCUCCUCCUCCUCUCCAUCACCCUCUUGCUCGCCGUCGCCACCGCCCUGUCCUUCCCCGCCACUCAUCUCCCCCUACUCCGGCGCGCCCUCUCACUAGCCGCCACAUCCCUCAGCCCAUGGAUUUCGGCACAACCACUCUCGGCCGCCACCUCUCCUCUCAUCUCCUCGUUUCCUCCAAAUUUCACGAUCUGGAGUUGGAGAGGCAAAUACGUCCGCCGACGCCACGGAGAUGGAGGAGGCUGCAACUGGUGCUGGAGAGCCAUGGGUGGCUGAGAGGAGGAAGGGAGGUACCCUCUCCUGCAUCUCGCGCAAAGCCAUCCUGCUGGUGGCUCGAGCGAUGCAGGCAGCGACGAGCGCCAGUGAGUGUAGGAGCCUGGCAGCGGGAGCAUUGGUGCCGGUAGUGCAGGAACCUGGCAGCGGGAGCGUUGGCGCGAGGACCACCGUGUCGCAGGUCAAGACUUGGGAGUGCAUCUGGAAUCCCGGGUUGUCCUGGUUGUUCAUCGUUCGGCUUGCUACCUGGGGAGGAAUGCCAUAUCCUGAAAAGGAAGAAGUCCGUACCCGUCUAAGGCAGGACCCAAAUUUCUGGAAAAAUAGGCCCUUGUCUGAAGUGAUGAUUUGAGCAGCAACAGAUGAUGUGCGCUUCCUUCUCAAUAUACAUGAGAAAAUGAUGGAGAAGUUGAGCAAAGUAUCUUCAUGGCGUCUGGCAGUACGAAGUGAGCUAUACUGUAGGUGUUUUUGCAUAAAUGACAACCAGCAGGCAGAUUGGCCGCCUCUUCUAACUGUCCCUGAACAAAAUCGAUUAAACAUUGUUGACGGAUGACAUUGAAGCUGAAGCUUGUGUUCCUGAGGUGGAUAUCCUUUCGCUCUAGGAUGUGCCUCCUGGAAAAAUGGGAUGUGUUAUUGGCAGAAAAGGAUCAUCAAUAAUUAUUCUGAAAGAAUCUUGCAAGUACUCAUCUUAAGCUUGAUUCUUCAGAUAUCGCAUGAUAUUUAUUCUGCAAUAUCUAAUUUGGUCUUCCCUGGUUUGUUUUCACUCCUAUGUGGAGUGUUGAAAUCCAUAUCGGUGGUGCAAAGGGGCCUCCAGGUAGGGCCUAGCAGGCGAUAACGGCGCCACGAGGAUUCGCUGCCGUGAGGAGGACCCCGACCCGUAUGAUGGCCGCCGGAAGGUCACGCACUUCUUUGGCUCGCUCAGACUAGCUCCAUUGACGGCUUCUCUAAGGUAUCUUCUUGUGCAGCUUCACACUUGCUUGUGUGUCUCUUGCAAAAAGUAAGCUACCUGGUACCUCUCUACUCUUCUUUAGCAGGUGUUUGCAGAGGAAGCCGAGGGAUACAUGAUACUGGUAAUUUACUAAUGAUCCAUAUUGUUGGAAUAAUCUCACGAAUUCUAUUGAAAACAGAACUUAUUUCGGUAUGCUUAAUGUUUGGUUUUAGUAAUUAUGUCUGCUUUAGUAGCCAGGAGCAUCCCCUCCCAUUUCUGACUUUGAACCAUGUGCCCCGUUUAAACCAGCGUAAUUCGAUGACCUUAUGCAAUUAUUUGGUACAAAGAAUGUGCUGAUAAAGUAUUUUUAUUUUUUACUUUACUAUGUUUAGUUCUGACGUAUUGAUACUCCUGUCAAUCUGCUCUAAUCUGGUUCGCCGAUAUCCUGAAGGAAUUAGACCAUCCUAUAUCUUUUUUUCUGAUUUUUGUUGGAUACCUGCUUAGAUGGGUGAACUUUUAACCCAUCUUUUAUUGCUUGCAGGUGUAUUUGUUGGGUUACUCUUGGCGUGUUGAACAAAAAUUGGCGUUCGGCACCUGCUAUUUAAAGAUGGUUUGAUCAGUACUAGGGAAAACCCAUAUAUGGAACGAAAUUAUUGUAGGUAUCUAAGAAUGCUGAUGAUUACACUCGGAGCAAGGCUUGUCACGGCGCUACAAGUGUUGCCCCCCUCCUCCCCAAGGGCAAGGUGAAGGAAGGUGCCUGUGUGGUUCUUCUGCAGCUCGCAGCGAGGAUUGCUGUGUCCAACCUGCACAAGAAUGCCAAGAAGUCCUUCUCGGAGAUGUAAGCCACGACGCAUGUUUCUGCCAUGAUUUCCUUCGGUUGGAUUUCAUGGAUUUAGGUGUUGAAAAAUUAUGGGCUGUGGAUGCAGGAUUAAGGACAUGUACCUGCACUACAACGAGAGAUCUAGGCCGCUUCUUUGUGGCUUUCAAACUUGAAAUAUUUGUUUGGAAAUUAGUUUAGUUUUUUGUCGUGGACUCACAGCUUCUUACAUGUACCAUCCUCUUAGACCUUUAGAUUUCCAAAGAAACUAAAUGAAGAUAUGGUGGUAUGGUCUCAAUAGUAUAACUUAAAGCCUUCCAUGCUUUAUAUUUUCUCUGAAAUUUGCUCU